Molecule: ribosomal RNA, 1637 nt
Filed under: human gut metagenome
Description: bacterial LSU rRNA
Rfam family: Bacterial large subunit ribosomal RNA
Source: RNAcentral
UGCAUACAUGGGACUGUAUCCAGAGUACCACGAGACACGUGAAACCUUGUGGGAAGCAGGGGGGACCACCCUCCAAGCCAAAAUACUGAUAUCGACCGAUAGCGCAUAGUACCGUGAGGGAAAGGUGAAAAGAACCCCUGGCGGGGAGUGAAAGAGAACCUGAAACCGUAUGUCUACAAACAGUCGAAGUCUGUAUAUAUAUCAGGACGACGGCGUGCCUAUUGAAGAAUGAACCGACGAGUUACUGUUGCUAGCGAGGUUAAGUGGAAAACAUGGAGCCGCAGCGAAAGCGAGUCUGAACAGGGCGUUCAGUUAGUAAUAGUAGACCCGAAACCGUAGUGAUCUAUCCAUGGCCAGGUUGAAGCACAGGUAAAAUUGUGUGGAGGACCGAACUCGUGAGCGUUGAAAAGCUUUGGGAUGAGUUGUGGAUAGGGGUGAAAUGCCAAUCGAACACGGAGAUAGCUGGUUCUCCCCGAAAUAGCUUUAGGGCUAGCCUCGAGGUUGAGAGUAUAGGCGGUAGAGCACUGAUCGGGCUAGGGGCCAUACCGGUUACCGAACCUAGUCAAACUACGAAUGGCUAUACUUAUACUCGGGAGUCAGACAGUGAAUGAUAAGGUCCAUUGUCAAGAGGGAAACAGCCCAGAACACCGACUAAGGUCCCAAAUGUUACACUAAGUGGCGAAGGAUGUGGAGUUUCCAAAACAACCAGGAUGUUGGCUUAGAAGCAGCCACCAUUUAAAGAGUGCGUAAUAGCUCACUGGUCGAGAGACUCUGCGCCGAAGAUGUCCGGGGCUAAAGUGUAAAACCGAAGUCGUGUCAUAUGCAGCAAUGUAUAUGGGUAGGGGAGCGUUCUCAUCGGGCUGAAGCAGUACCGUAAGGAGUUGUGGACUGAUGAGAAGUGAGAAUGUCGGUAUGAGUAGCGAAAAGAAUGGUGAGAAUCCAUUCCACCGAAAGCCUAAGGGUUCCUGAGCAACGAUCGUCGUCUCAGGGUAAGUCGGGACCUAAGCCGAGGCGGAAUAGCGUAGGCGAUGGACAACAGGUUGAAAUUCCUGUACCGGUGUGAAUCGUUUGAUCGAUGGAGUGACACAGUAAGGUAGGUCAGCACGCGAUUGGAAGAGCGUGUUUAAGCAGGUAGGUUGAGCUAUAGGCAAAUCCGUAGCUCUAAAAGCUGAGAUGUGAUGACGAGUGACUAGCAAUAGUCGCGAAGUGAUUGAUCCUACACUGUCGAGAAAAGCUUCUAGGUAGAGACACAUCGCCCGUACCAAAACCGACACAGGUAGGCGGGGAGAGAAUCCUAAGGUGCGCGGGAAAACCCUCGUUAAGGAACUCGGCAAAAUGCCUCCGUAACUUCGGGAAAAGGAGGACUCAUGUAGUGUGAAGAGCAGCAACGCUUGGAGCAUGAAUGAGUGGCACAAGAGAGGCGCAAGCGACUGUUUACCACAAACACAGGUGCCUGCUAAAGCGAAAGCUGAUGUAUAGGUGCUGACACCUGCCCGGUGCUGGAAGGUUAAGAGGAGGGGUUAGACUUCGGUCGAAGCUCUGAAUUGAAGCCCCAGUAAACGGCGGCCGUAACUAUAACGGUCCUAAGGUAGCGAAAUUCCUUGUCGGGUAAGUUCCGACCCGCACGAAAGGUGUAA